This 484-nucleotide ribosomal RNA is filed under the name uncultured bacterium. Its description in RNAcentral is "partial 16S ribosomal RNA". It matches the Rfam family "Bacterial small subunit ribosomal RNA", at positions 29 to 507 of the family's 1533-position model. The record is from RNAcentral.
AAUGAACGCUGGCGGCAGGCCUAACACAUGCAAGUCGAGCGGACGAAGGGAGCUUGUUCCUGGAUUCAGCGGCGGACGGGCGAGUAAUGCCCAGGAAGCUGCCUGGUAGUGGGGGAUAACGUCCGGAAACGGGCGCUAAUACCGCAUACGGCCUGCGGGAGAACGUGGGGGAUCUUCGGACCUCACGCUAUCAGAUGAGCCUAGGUCGGAUUAGCUAGUUGGUGGGGUUACGGCCUACCAAGGCGACGAUCCGUAACUGGUCUGAGAGGAUGAUCAGUCACACUAGAACUGAGACACGGUCCAGACUCCUACGGGAGGCAGCAGUGGGGAAUCUUGGCCCAUGGGCGAAAGCCUGAUCCAGCCAUGCCGCGUGUGUGAAGAAGGUCUUCGGAUUGUAAAGCACUUUAAGGUGGGAGGAAGGGCAGUAAGUUAAUACCUGGCUGUUUUGACGUUACCAACAGAAUAAGCACCGGCUAACUUCGUG